AGGGAUGUAGUGUAACGGUAGCACUUCGGACUUUGACUCCGACAGCCUAGGUUCGAAACCUAGCGUCCCUGCCA
Molecule: transfer RNA, 74 nt
Filed under: Salmonella phage 7-11
Lineage: Duplodnaviria; Heunggongvirae; Uroviricota; Caudoviricetes; Grimontviridae
Also listed under: 1 other name
Description: tRNA-Gln
Rfam family: tRNA
About the family: Transfer RNA (tRNA) molecules are approximately 80 nucleotides in length. Their secondary structure includes four short double-helical elements and three loops (D, anti-codon, and T loops). Further hydrogen bonds mediate the characteristic L-shaped molecular structure. tRNAs have two regions of fundamental functional importance: the anti-codon, which is responsible for specific mRNA codon recognition, and the 3' end, to which the tRNAs corresponding amino acid is attached (by aminoacyl-tRNA synthetases). tRNAs cope with the degeneracy of the genetic code in two manners: having more than one tRNA (with a specific anti-codon) for a particular amino acid; and 'wobble' base-pairing, i.e. permitting non-standard base-pairing at the 3rd anti-codon position.
Source: RNAcentral